GCUACAAGAUAACAUGUUAACGUGAACAUUACUAGUCUCAUAUUAGCUAUACAAUGCUUAACAGUUUAUUACAUGCUGUGUACGUAUUAGUUUAUUAAUUAGAGUAAUUAUAAAGUAUAAACAAUUUUCAUAGUAGCCUAAAGAAUGGAACAUUAAUGACACCUAUUAAUUAAACACAUAUUUAAAAUCAAGUUACCAUACCGUGGUUCUGAGUAGUGGUUCUUCAUAAAUUCACAGUAUGCCCACCUCUUCGGACACUACUACAUCACUGUUUCCUCUUACUCAUCAUUUGAAAAGCGAUACAUUUUAAUGCUUUUAUUAGAGACCCACCUACAUUUACACACUUAUUCCAAUAUGAUUAAUUUCUGCUCUAGCUCACCUGAUAGAGUGUUGGACUUUGGACUUGAAGAUCGAGGCUCAAGCCCAGCCCAUGUUGCUCGAAACAAAUGUGAAAGUGAAGCGAAAGUGCUAUAGAAGUGACAUGAAAUGACGUGGUUGCUUCAGUUGAUGUGCUUUUCAUGUCAGAUUUGCUUUCAAAAUGCUAUCGGUUAGGUUUAGGCAUUGGUUAAGGGUAAGGAUGUCAGUUUUGUUCACCUCUCAUUUAUCUUUUUGAAUACCAUUGGUUAGGUUCAGGCUACAUGUUUAGGUUAGGGGGGUACGUUUUACUCACUUGCUUUUGCUGCCUCCCACUGGAUAUUUCACUGGGAAGCUGCAGCCAAACGUGUAAUGAGGCACGUAAAUUUGGUUUGUAAAAAUGUUGCCAUUGUCCCGUAAAUUUCAUGAGAUCAGGCUGAAAUGACAUGUUUGGAAUGCCAAGAAUACAAGUGGAGUGAUACAAACAGUAAAGCAUCCCAGGUCUGAUGGUGUGAGCUAUCAACACUCUUGGAACACCUCUCAUCGAUUCAGAUUUGAGGAACCGAACUAACUGUUGUGUAUCAGUAUAUAUCACAAUACGAGUUCUAUAUUAAUAAGUUGCAGUGUUGCUUGGCAACCCUAAACAACUCUCAGCGAUACCACGCCUGCACACCUAAAAAAUUGCUUUCAUUGUAAUCAGUGAAGCUGUAUGCACUGGAAGUAAUUUUCUGUGACAGUUUGAUGUGUAGGAUAUAGUUAUCUGCUUCUGCUUGUGCUAUGGAUGUACCCCAGUAUAAACUUUUAGCUGAAUCUCUAUAGAAUGAUACAUUUUUACCGUGCCACGUCACACCGGCCAGCAUCUAAUAGACAUACUUAUGGCUACAUGUGUCUAGUUUAAAUCUUCCAGUCCAUAAUAUCUUGUUUUGUAGUCAUUGUACAAUGGUUAACUCCAGGGUUAUCAUAGAUAGAUCUUGCUUAUUAAACUUUUUCUCAGAUACAGGCCUAAAAACUGCACCGAGGCCAAAGUUUGCAAACUUUUACAAUUUUAUUUCUGUCCAGAAACGUGUCACCUGGCUCUUAGGUAUUGUAUCUGGCUCAUGACGCAAUCCAUAUGAAAGAGUAAGAAAAUGUAUAAAGCAAUCAAUGAAAAGCAGCUGUGCAGUUAUUCAGCGGUCUCGGAGGAAGUGUCAAGGUUGUACGGUAUGCUCCCCAGACUCCUGGACUACAUAUCAUCAUUCUAAACAGCCUGCGUAAAUACAGUGAAGUGUCUCUUUACAAGCUCUGCAUUACUUAUGGGUCUGCUAUGUGUUACUGUGUUCUUUUAUACUGCUGUACCGCCCCAUUUAUGAAUCUACUUUACAAGUUUUAGAGCGAAAACUAAAGUUUUACUGCUUUGAAUAGAGAUGUUUCACACUUUGGAGACUGGCAUAAGCUCAUUUUUAGGCUUUAUAGAAAUGCUCCCAAGCUGAUAGUGGAAAAGCAGCUUAUGUGGACCAUAGACAGAAAGGCAGUUUACUAGUAGCAAUGUAAAGUUUGUUUAAAUUUGGCCAAUUUUUAUUCGUUUUUUCCCCCUUAGUGUGAAAAGCCUUAAAUUUGCUAUGGAUAAAUUCUCCUCAUUUGGAGAAAGUUAUGAAAGACAGCACUAUGUAUCUUAAGUGUAGAUGUACAGUUUGAUGUUAACAAUCUCAUACUAACAUACUCAAGUCUUGAAGCAAAACUAGUCUGACAUGCCCUUUUGGUAACUUAAUAGCCAAAUUGUGAUGUUCAUGAUAUUGUUUAUAUUUUGGUAUUGGUUUUUUUAUAUUGGUUUUGAUACAACAAACACAUAAAGAUAUAUGUUGGGCUGAGUUAAAAUACUUUGACAGUGGGAAUGAGUUCUUAGUGAUUAAAAUACAGUCAUCUGAAGAAAAACUAAGCCUUUUUUAAACUAGUUCAAUCACCGACACAUUAGGGGUUUUCAUAGAGUUUUUAAACAAAUAAUCAAUGCUGAAUCCGCGACCCAGCCCGCGCUUCUCUCAGCACUGUUUAUGGGUGUGCGCCAUUCUGCAGUGAUCAUCUUUAUACCCUAUUCCCAUCGAACAUUUUACCGUCCACUGUGUGAGCUUUGAAAGGCUAAAAGGUGUAGUGCUAAAAAGUAAGUGUCAUUCAGGACUCCCUUUGUAAGGAAUUUUUAAUGGAAAUUCUGUUUGAAGUGAUCUUACAGCAUGACUAUCAUGAUUGUUCCCCCUUGAAUGUGCCCUUCGGAGGGUGAGUUAUGCCGUUUGGAAUUACAAUAAUAGACAGAUAAAACAGAGGUAAGAAAGAAAGAAAAAUAUAGAGUGAGAAUAAUAGAUAAAUUAGAGGGAAAAAAGAAAGAGAAAUAAAGAAAAAAAUAGUGUGAAUAAUAGAUAAAAUAAAGAAAAGAAAGAAUGAAAGAAAAAUAGAGAGAUAAUAAUAGAUAAAAUAGAGGAAAGAAAGAAAGAAAAAUAGAGAGAGAAUAAUGGAUAGAUAAAAUAAAGGUAUGAAAGAAAGAAAAAGAAAAAUAUAUAUAUAGAGAGAGAAUAAUAGAUAGAUUUAACAGAGGUAAGAAAGAAAGAAAAAUAUAGAGUGAGAAUAAUAGAUAAAUUAGAGGAAAAAAGAAAGAGAAAUAAAGAAAAAAUAGUGUGAAUAAUAGAUAAAAUAAAGAAAAGAAAGAAUAAAAGAAAAAUAGAGAGAUAAUAAUAGAAAUAUAAAAUAAAUGUAAGAAAGAAAGAAAAAGAAAAAAUAUAUAGAGAGAAUAAUAGAUAGGUAAAAUAGAGGUAAGAAAAAAAAUAGAGAGAGAGAAUAAUGGAUAGAUACAGUAGAGGAAAUAAAGAAGAAUAGAGGUAAGAAAGGAAGAAAAAUAGAGAGAGAGAAUAAUGGAUAGAUAAUAUAGAGGAAAGAAAGAAAGAAAAAUAGAGAGAGAAUAAUGGAUAGAUAAAAUAAAGGUAAGAAAGAAAGAAAAAGAAAAAAAUAUAUAUAGAGAGAAUAAUAGAUAGAUUUAACAGAGGUAAGAAAGAAAGAAAAAUAGAGAGAGAGAAUAAUGGAUAGAUACAAUAGAGGAGAUAAAGAAAAAUAGAGAGAUAAUAAUAGAUAGAUAAAAUAGAGGUAAGAAAGAAAGAAAACGAGAGAGAGGGAGAAUAAUAGAUAGGUAAAAUAGAGGUAAGAAAGAAAAAUAGGGAGAGAGAAUAAUAGAUAGGUAAGAAAGAAAGAAAAAUAGAGAAUAAUGGAUAGAUAAAAUAGGGGAAAGAAAAAUAGAGAGAGAAUAAUGGAUAGAUACAAUAGACGAAAUAAAUAUAAAUAGAGAGAUAAUAAUAGAUACAAUAGAGGUAAGAAAGAAAGAAAAACAGAGAGAGAAUAAUGGAUAGAUACAGUAGAGGAAAGAAAAAUAGAGAGAAUAAUAGGUAAAAUAGAGGAAAGAAAGAAAGAAAAAUAGAGAGAGAGAGAAUAACAGAGCGUUAACAGAGGUAAGAAAGAAAAAUAGAGAGAGAAUAAUAGAUAGGUAAAAUAGAGAGAAUAAUGGAUAGGUAAAAUAGAGGUAAGAGAAAAAUAGAGAGAGAGAAUAAUGGAUAGAUAAAAUAGAAGAGAGAAAAAAGAGAAUGAAAGACAGAAAGACAAAUAUGUAGAGAGAGAACAAUAUUGUAUUAGUGAAAAUGCAAGUACAUGUAUCAACUAGUUGAAAUCAAGAAUGGGUAUUUCUGCAGGUAAUGACGUCAGUUUUUACUAAUGCAAAUGACUUAAAUUACUGAUAUCAAGAAUUAGCAUUUUAAGUAGUGAAAAUUGAAUUGUGGAUUGUAACAGCUCACAGACAGAAGGGAAGGAGAACACAGGGAAGCAGGUUUUUCCAGGCUCAGGUAGGACUUUCAAUCGGCCACUUCAAUGCUUCACAAACUCAUUAGCUUCACAGGCAUGUAGUAACUUAAACACAUCAGCUUCACAAACAUAACAGAUUAAACGUAGCAGCUUCAGGAGCACCGUGGCCUUCCUUGUGCCAGUCUCUCUCUCUCUCUCUCUCUCUCUGCUGGUGGCGUGGCAUGGCUGCUUAUAUGCCACUCUUCCCAUGUUCACUGGAAUUAGAAAUAGGUGUUAAACAUAAUCUAGCUCAGGUGCAAGUGCCCUUACCGCUUUCUCUCUCUCCGGAAAAAAAAAAAAACA
Long non-coding RNA from Myxocyprinus asiaticus (Chinese sucker), 4506 nucleotides. RefSeq lists it as uncharacterized. The record is from RefSeq and is a predicted model, not a curated record. The transcript is spliced from 2 exons. NCBI's taxonomy places the organism in Eukaryota, Metazoa, Chordata, Actinopteri, Cypriniformes, Catostomidae.